RNAcentral lists this ribosomal RNA (497 nucleotides) under uncultured bacterium. RNAcentral's name for it is "partial 16S ribosomal RNA". It matches the Rfam family "Bacterial small subunit ribosomal RNA", at positions 28 to 506 of the family's 1533-position model. The record is from RNAcentral.
GACGAACGCUGGCGGCGUGCCUAAUACAUGCAAGUCGAACGAGAGCAACCGGUGCUUGCACUGGUCAAUCUAGUGGCGAACGGGUGAGUAACACGUGGGUAACCUGCCCAUCAGAGGGGGAUAACAUCCGGAAACGGAUGCUAAAACCGCAUAGGUCUUCGAACCGCAUGGUUUGAAGAGGAAAAGAGGCGCAAGCUUCUGCUGAUGGAUGGACCCGCGGUGCAUUAGCUAGUUGGUGAGGUAACGGCUCACCAAGGCCGUGAUGCAUAGCCGACCUGAGAGGGUGAUCGGCCACAUUGGGACUGAGACACGGCCCAAACUCCUACGGGAGGCAGCAGUAGGGAAUCUUCCGCAAUGGACGCAAGUCUGACGGAGCAACGCCGCGUGAGUGAAGAAGGUUUUCGGAUCGUAAAACUCUGUUGUUAGAGAAGAACAAGUGCUAGAGUAACUGUUAGCGCCUUGACGGUAUCUAACCAGAAAGCCACGGCGAACUACGU